GACGAACGCUGGCGGCGUGCUUAACACAUGCAAGUCGAACGGAAAGGCCCUGCUUGCCGGGUACUCGAGUGGCGAACGGGUGAGUAACACGUGGGUGAUCUGCCCUGCACUUCGGGAUAAGCCUGGGAAACUGGGUCUAAUACCGGAUAGGAGCCAUUUUUAGUGUGAUGGUUGGAAAGUUUUUUCGGUGUAGGAUGAGCUCGCGGCCUAUCAGCUUGUUGGUGGGGUAAUGGCCUACCAAGGCGGCGACGGGUAGCCGGCCUGAGAGGGUGGACGGCCACACUGGGACUGAGAUACGGCCCAGACUCCUACGGGAGGCAGCAGUGGGGAAUAUUGCACAAUGGGCGCAAGCCUGAUGCAGCGACGCCGCGUGGGGGAUGACGGCCUUCGGGUUGUAAACUCCUUUCGCUAGGGACGAAGCUUUUUGUGACGGUACCUAGAUAAGAAGCACCGGCUAACUACGUG
Molecule: ribosomal RNA, 465 nt
Filed under: uncultured bacterium
Lineage: Bacteria
Description: partial 16S ribosomal RNA
Rfam family: Bacterial small subunit ribosomal RNA
Source: RNAcentral